GGCAUGCCUUACACAUGCAAGUCGAACGCGAAAGUGUCUUCGGACAUUAGUAGAGUGGCAAACGGGUGAGUAACGCGUGGGAAUCUACCUUAUAGUACGGGAUAGCCUCGGGAAACUGGGAUUAAUACCGUAUACUCCCUUCGGGGGAAAGAUUUAUCGCUAUAAGAUGGGCCCGCGUCAGAUUAGCUAGUUGGUGGGGUAAAAGCCUACCAAGGCAACGAUCUGUAGCUGGUCUGAGAGGACGAUCAGCCACACUGGGACUGAAACACGGCCCAGACUCCUACGGGAAGCAGCAGUGGGGAAUAUUGGACAAUGGACGCAAGUCUGAUCCAGCAAUGCCGCGUGAAUGAUGAAGGCCUUAGGGUUGUAAAGUUCUUUUAGUGGGGAAGAUAAUGACGGUACCCACAGAAAAAGCACCGGCUAACUUCGUGCCAGCCGCCGCCGUAA
Molecule: ribosomal RNA, 447 nt
Filed under: uncultured bacterium
Lineage: Bacteria
Description: partial 16S ribosomal RNA
Rfam family: Bacterial small subunit ribosomal RNA
Source: RNAcentral